RNAcentral lists this ribosomal RNA (778 nucleotides) under uncultured bacterium. RNAcentral's name for it is "bacterial SSU rRNA". It matches the Rfam family "Bacterial small subunit ribosomal RNA", at positions 8 to 796 of the family's 1533-position model. The record is from RNAcentral.
AGAGUUUGAUCAUGGCUCAGGACGUACGCUGGCGGCGUGCUUAACACAUGCAAGUCAAGGGGGCCCAGCAAUGGGCAACCGGCGAACGGGUGCGUAACACGUGAGCAACCUACCGAACUGUGGGGGAUAGCCGGCCUAACGGCCGAGUAAUACCGCAUACGCUUUCAUUGAGGCAUUUCAGUGAAAGGAAACCUACGGGACAGAUCGAGGGGCUCGCGGCCUAUCAGCUAGUUGGCGAGGUAACGGCUCACCAAGGCGACGACGGGUAGCUGGUCUGAGAGGAUGGCCAGCCACAUUGGGACUGAGAUACGGCCCAGACUCCUACGGGAGGCAGCAGUGGGGAAUCUUGCGCAAUGGCCUAACGGCUGACGCAGCGACGCCGCGUGUGGGAUGAAGCUCCUCGGAGUGUAAACCACUGUUGCCCGGGACGAACAGCUCGAAUUCUCGAGCCUGACGGUACCGGGUGAGGAAGCACCGGCUAACUCCGUGCCAGCAGCCGCGGUAAUACGGGGGGUGCGAGCGUUGUCCGGAAUCACUGGGCGUAAAGGGCGCGUAGGUGGUUUGAUAAGGGUGUGGUGAAAGUCCGGGGCUCAACCCCGGAUCUGCCGUGCCGACUGUCAAACUCGAGGGCUGUAGAGGCAGACGGAAUUCCGGGUGUAGCGGUGGAAUGCGUAGAGAUCCGGAGGAAGACCGGUGGCGAAGGCGGUCUGCUGGGCAGUUUCUGACACUGAUGCGCGACAGCGUGGGGAGCAAACAGGAUUAGAUACCCUAGUAGUCC